GGAGGUACAAACGUAACUCCUACUCCCAUAGUCAAUUGUACCGUUGAACUAGUUUGCAGAACACAAGAUCUCCUAUCAGCUGAGUCACUUGAGCUCUACAAUCAACUGGCUACGGUUGUGCAGGCUACAGCUGAAAUUGAACUGGAACUCUUCCGUACUCGUACCAAUAAUCAAGAGGGUACACUGUGUGAAGUCAAUCAGGGCACACGUAAUGAUGGGAGAGAUGUGACUGUAUCCUUCAAUGGCAUGCAAACUGCACAAAUAUCCGCCAACUCCUCCAUGCUGCCCGUUGGCUUUCUCAGUGCACUCUAUAAAUCGGAAGACUUUGAUGGAUUUGGCAGACUGCGUAUCUCCCUGGAUCUGAUUAGCGGUACGGCUCAACUCAUCGCCCUUCAACCACCCAGUGCAGUACUGUUUCUGGACUUCCCACCCACUGAACAAAUCUGUGACGAAUUCACCAUUUGCAGAGACCCGCCUCUCACCAUACCACCUCCUAACACCCAGCCGCCACGUCCAUUUGUUGCCAUGCCGACCAGUGACAAUCUCCAAGCAGCCAUCUCAAGGAAUCUCUGUAAUCGUGCGGCAUGUGAAGUCAAUGGACCCACAGUAUGUGUGUGAAAAGCCAGGCCUCUACUCGCAGCCAAAACCCUGAUAGCCUUUAUGAUAACACCAGGCGUGCCCAAACUCUACAAGUCCUGAUUUUCAAUGUUAGUCCACACUGAUUAGUGAUAGUGUGUUGAUUUCUUGAUUCCACUCUUCGUCACAAUAGGAUUUUCACCUCGUUUUGUUGAUUUUCCACUAGAUCUUACACUACACUGAACAACUACAGUUACGUCAUGAUCUCAAAUAAGCGCAUGUGCCAUGAACUAACCAAUAGGCAAUACCUAUCAUCUAACCCAGACUGCCAGAGGCCCUAUUAUGAAUUCACAGCUGAACGGAUAUACUAUGUAGCUAUAAUCUCUAUACACAAGUUGAUUGACAAAUCAAGACUCAAGUUUACACGUCGUAUUAUCCUCAAAUCACAAUUGAAUGCCGAGGACAGUACUAUGAGACGGACA
This is a long non-coding RNA of Sycon ciliatum, 1058 nucleotides long. RefSeq lists it as uncharacterized. The record is from RefSeq and is a predicted model, not a curated record. The transcript is spliced from 2 exons. Lineage: Eukaryota; Metazoa; Porifera; Calcarea; Leucosolenida; Sycettidae.